ACACACAAUAAUAAUAAUCAAUUUGCUGGGCAUAGUGGGGUGUGCGUGUAGUCCCAGCUACUCAGGAGGCUAAGGAGGGAGGAUCACCUGAGCCCAGGAAGUUAAGGCUGCAGUAAGCUUGGAUGGCACCACUGCACUCCAGCCUGGGUGACAGAGGGAGACUCUGUCAAUGAAUGAAUGAAUGAAUAAAUGAAUAAAUGAAUGAAUAGAAAAUGCUCUGAGCGAAAAGAGGAGAGUCUCUUUAUCUUUUUGCAACAGGCUAAACAAAAUUUUUAAAAAUGUAUAUUUGCCUCACAGAGAUUAUUCCAGGAAAAGAAAUGGCCCUCAGUGUCAAAGGAUGCAAAACUAACCUGUGAGUUCCUGGCAGGUUUAGCAAUAAAGGAGGAUGUUGCUGAUCUCAGUACAAGCAAUGUUAGAGAAAGGGGAAGAUGGAAGUGGACGAGGACCAGUGAGUGGAAGGUGACAAAUGGAAGCAAAGAAACCCAUCCAGACCAUUGAAGAUGCUUGAGCGAGAAGAAAGAGGCGGUGGAGGGAAUGGAAGCCCGAGGAAGUCAUUUGUUGCAAUAGGAUGCCUCAGAGCACGUGUAGGGUGCGGGGCAGAGCCCAUGCAGAGGGGCUGUGGAAGGCUGGCAGGGUGCAGGUGGCCCCACUCUCCGUCACCCUGAGGAAUAUGUGGUCAGAGUUAAAGCUCAGUCUGUUUCUGGGAUCAGGUAAGAGGUGAGCGUCCGGAGAAGACAGGCGGAUCUUCAGAUCCUGCAGACCUCCACCGCGCCCUCUGUCCCUCUUGACUGCUUUUUCUCCAUCUCCAUUGUCUGGCUCACAUUCGUGUCACUUUUUCAUUUCUCCCUACCCCUCUUUCCCAAAUUAUAAAAAAAGAAACUGUUUAAGCCACAAUAGAAUUAUCGUAGAAAUAAACCAUGGUCCUUCCUGCUAAAAUAUUCCACUUAGAAUUGUAAAAUAUUCUUCUCAAUAACUCCUGAAAGAGCCUAUUAAGAAAUUAAUGAGGCUGGGCAUGGUGGCUCACACCUCUAAUUCCAGCACUUUUGGAGGCUGAGACGGGUGGAUCACUUGAGGUUAGGAGUUUGAGACCAGCCUGGCCAAUAUGGUGAAACCCCGUCUCAACUAAAAAUACAAAAAUUACCCAGGCAUGGUGGCAGGCACUUGUAAUCCCAACUACUCGGGAGGCUGAGGCAAGAGAAUUGCUUGAACCCAGGAAGUGGAGGUUGCAGUGAGCCAAGAUGGCAGCACUGCACUCCAUCCUGGAUGACAGAGUUAAACUCCAUCUCAACCAAAAAAAAAAAAAGAAAAAGAAAAGAAACUAACAAAUGUAAGAGUGUCUAUGUUCCAAAUCCGGUGUAUUAUUUUAUGCAGCCUUUCACAAGCUCUAAAAGAUUCACUGUGCAGAACUGGAGGUUCUAGAGAAAGACCACGCCUCCUCCUACAGGUAACUCUUGAUUCAGGAAGCAGCUCUUGGCUUAUCCCUGGGCUUAGUGGAAUUCAAAUACCUGACCAUAGGACACCAAGGGCUUUGGGACCUGAAAGGCACAUCAUGUCCUGGUGACAUCUGAGUUACCUGGGGCAUGCACAGCCAGCCUCCAGCAUCCCAGGGAGAGCUGUGUAUGGGGUCAGGCUCAAGCAGGUCCCAGGGCACCAGUGACCCAAUGGGUGACUCAGACUCCCAUGGCACCUGCUCCUUCUGUUUCUCCCUCCACCAUAUAUAUGAGCUCAUGGGAAACACUGUGUGACCUCUUACAGAGGAGGAAAGUGCAUGGACUUCCAGUUUCUAGAACUGUGAUACAAUAAACUCCUGUUGCUUAUCUACUCCUCUACAGUAUUUUGUCAUGGCAGCCCUAGCAAACUACUACAGGGACUGUGAGGGUUAAGAUGACACCAAACAUCAAAUGCCACUCCCUGUUCCAACACUGAGACCAUUCCACAGCCUCUGAAUGACAAGACAGGCCUUCAAAAUCAAGACCACCUGGCUAGGUAAGAAGUACUUUAGUCACACCACUUCUGAACUUUCUCGCCUACCUGCAGGGCAGGAAUUUUUACCAUUUUCAAAUGAGGACACUGAAGCCCAGAGAAGUAGUGCUAUUUCCUGAUGGAUAAGAGGUGAUAUAUUUCAGUCCUCAGACCAACUCUGAAGUAGCAAGCUUCUAGUCUUAAGAGUCAAACUUGGCUGGGCAUGAUGGUUCAAGCCUGUAAUCCCAGCAAUUUGGUAGGCCGAGGCGGGUGGAUCACCUGAGGUCAGGAGUUCGAGACCA
RNAcentral lists this long non-coding RNA (2264 nucleotides) under Homo sapiens (human). Its description in RNAcentral is "HSALNT0260304". The record is from RNAcentral. Lineage: Eukaryota; Metazoa; Chordata; Mammalia; Primates; Hominidae.